GGCGNAACNGGUGANUAACACGUGACUAAUCUGUCUUCAGGAGAGGGACAACCUGGGGAAACCUGGGCUAAUACCACAUGACACCUCCGUCUCGCAUGGGACGGUGGCCAAAGGGGGCCUCUGCUUGCAAGCUCCUGCCUGAAGAGGAGGUCGCGGCGUAUCAGCUAGUUGGUGAGGUAAUGGCUCACCAAGGCUACGACGCGUAGUGGGUCUGAGAGGACGACCCGCCACAUUGGGACUGAGAUACGGCCCAGACUCCUACGGGAGGCAGCAGUGGGGAAUAUUGCGCAAUGGCCGAAAGGCUGACGCAGCGACGCCGCGUGUGGGAGGAAGCUCUUCGGGGUGUAAACCACUGUCAGGGGGAAGAAACACGGGCGCUCGAAUA
This 385-nucleotide ribosomal RNA is filed under the name uncultured bacterium. RNAcentral's name for it is "bacterial SSU rRNA". It matches the Rfam family "Bacterial small subunit ribosomal RNA", at positions 97 to 465 of the family's 1533-position model. The record is from RNAcentral.